CACAGGUUUGGUCCCGACCUUGCCAUUAAUUAAAGCUAAACUUACACAUGCAAGUAUCCGCGCCCCCGUGAAAACGCCCUUAUAUUUACACCUAAUAAAUUAAGGGGCUGGUAUCAGGCACAUACCCCCUAAGCCCAAGACACCUGGCUCAGCCACACCCACAAGGGACUUCAGCAGUGAUAAACAUUGAGUAUAAGCGCAAAGCUCGACUCAGUUACAGCUACCAGAGCCGGUAAAUCUCGUGCCAGCCACCGCGGUUACACGAAAGACUCAAAUUAAUGACCAACGGCGUAAAGCGUGGUUAGAUAAAAUUUUACCCACUAGAGUAAAACACUAGCCAAGCCGUCACACGCUAUCGCUAACCAGAAAAACUUCUACGAAAGUGACUCUACCAUAAGAAUAAAUUUGAACCCACGACCGCUAGGACACAAACUGGGAUUAGAUACCCCACUAUGCCUAACCUUAAACUUUGACAAUUUACACACUACUUCCGCCAGGGUACUACGAGCUACAGCUUAAAACCCAAAGGACUUGGCGGUGCCCCAUACCACCUAGAGGAGCCUGUUCUAUAAUCGAUAACCCCCGCUAAACCUCACCACUUAUUGCCAAUACCGCCUAUAUACCACCGUCGCCAGCCCACCCUGUGAAGGGCUUCAAGUAGGCACAAUGGUCACCACCAAAACGUCAGGUCAAGGUGUAGCACAUGAAGUGGGAAGAAAUGGGCUACAUUUUCUACCCUAGAACAAACGAACGAUCAUAUGAAACAUGCUCAGAAGGUGGAUUUAGCAGUAAAAAGGAACAAAAGAGUCCUUUUAAAUCCGGCCCUGGGGCGCGUACACACCGCCCGUCACCCUCUUCAACCCUGCAAGAACUAUAAUUAAUUAAAACGCCACAAAAGAAGAGGCAAGUCGUAACAUGGUAAGCAUACUGGAAAGUAUGCUUGGAAAAU
RNAcentral lists this non-coding RNA (949 nucleotides) under Leiopelma archeyi (Coromandel frog). RNAcentral's name for it is "small ribosomal RNA subunit RNA". It matches the Rfam family "Bacterial small subunit ribosomal RNA". The record is from RNAcentral. Lineage: Eukaryota; Metazoa; Chordata; Amphibia; Anura; Leiopelmatidae.